Molecule: ribosomal RNA, 472 nt
Filed under: uncultured bacterium
Lineage: Bacteria
Description: bacterial SSU rRNA
Rfam family: Bacterial small subunit ribosomal RNA
Source: RNAcentral
AGGGUUCGAUCCUGGCUCAGAACGAACGCUGGCGGCAGGCCUUAUACAUGCAAGUCGAGCGCAUCCUUCGGGAUGAGCGGCGGACGGGUGAGUAACGCGUGGGAAUGUGCCCUUCCCUACGGAAUAGCCACUGGAAACGGUGAGUAAUACCGUAUACGCCCUCAGGGGGAAAGAUUUAUCGGAGAAGGAUCAGCCCGCGUUAGAUUAGGUAGUUGGUGGGGUAACGGCCUACCAAGCCUACGAUCUAUAGCUGGUUUUAGAGGAUGAUCAGCCACACUGGGACUGAGACACGGCCCAGACUCCUACGGGAGGCAGCAGUAGGGAAUCUUGGACAAUGGGGGCAACCCUGAUCCAGCCAUGCCGCGUGAGUGAAGAAGGCCCUAGGGUCGUAAAGCUCUUUCGCCUGUGAUGAUAAUGACAGUAGCAGGUAAAGAAACCCCGGCUAACUCCGUGCCAGCCGCCGCGGUAAUAC